RNAcentral lists this long non-coding RNA (780 nucleotides) under Cyanistes caeruleus (blue tit). RNAcentral's name for it is "lncRNA (ENSCCEG00000010800.1)". Lineage: Eukaryota; Metazoa; Chordata; Aves; Passeriformes; Paridae. The record is from RNAcentral.
GUGUGUUUUGUAACAAGACUGCGGCUGAGCAGCGGAGAGAAAGGCUGCCAGAGCUGGCUGGGAUUGUGCUUUUUGGUGCCACCUCUUCUAGGAAGGAACAGGGAAGUGGAGUUUGUUCUUCUCCUGAGGUAGGCUGAACACAGCAUAAGUGCAGAGAAGGCCUUGAACAACAGCAUAGGGCAAGCAGCCAAAGACAGAAUGGGAGCAUGAAGCAUGAAGAUAAACAGAAGUUUUGCUCCUGAGAGGAGGAAGUUUUGCUCCUUUAUGAAGGAAGACUUCCAAAGUUAAGACCUAGAAAAAAAGAAAGCAGGAUACCCAGAAGGAACUGUGUGGAGUUGGUAGAAACCUGGAAAGCUACUAAAUACAUGAAAAUAAAUUAUGAUAAUAGGAGAAAAGACCCAUUGGAAAAUCUCUACUCAAAGUCUGAUUAACUUUGGAAGCAGUUGGGACUUCAGCUGCUGUUUACCCAUCAAAGUUCUACAGCUGAAAUGUGGGAUAUCAAAAUGUGACAGACACGUGUACACAAAAGAAGAAAAAUAAAUUGUGAAGUUGUUUAUUAGAGAAUAUGGUUAAGUACUGCAAGACAGAACUACAAGAGAAAAGUAUGUGAAGAUAUUUAAGUUAACUUUAAGUCCUUAAACUAAGUCCUUAAACUAAGGACUAAACUAAGUCCUUAACUAAGUCGUAAGAAACUGCUGAGGUGUGGAUAAAGAGGAUCUCCCAAAAAAAUCUAGGACUAAGGAAGAGUUAAUUUAUCCUACCUAAUCAAGGUGUUAAAAG